AAUGCAGUAUUCUCUGAUGUGAAACCCAUAUGCAGGUUCUGCAGGGCCAGUUGCAGGACUUGAGCAUGCACGGAUUUGGGUUCGCAUGGGGUGUCCUAACCAGUCCCCUGAGUAUUCUGAGGGCCUUGACUGUACUUUUCAGCCUGCCACAGUAUUGCUUAUUUUAUUGUUUUUUUAGAUGUUGUUUGCUAAUUGAUUCUUAUUUUCAAAUGUCUUCUACAUGUUACAUGUUUUCUUUACCAGGAUGACUAUCAAAAUUAAGUUUCAUUUUGUUGCCUUUUAGCCCUCCAGAAGUUGCAAGUAGAACAAGAGGAAAACAGGUUUAGUUUCAGGCAUUCUACAUCUGUUUCUAGUCUAGCUGAAAGAUUGGUUGUCUGGAUGACUAAUGUAGGAUUCACUUUAAGAGAUUUGGAAACUCUUCCCUUUGGAAUUGCUCUUCCCAUCAGAGAUGCAAUUUAUCACUGUCGUGAGCAGCCUGCCUCAGACUGGCCAGAAGCUGUCUGUCUCUUGAUUGGACGUCAGGAUCUUUCCAAGCAGGCCUGCGAAGGAAACUUACCCAAAGGGAAGUCUGUGCUCUCAUCAGAUGUUCCUUCAGGAACAGAAACUGAGGAGGAAGAUGAUGGCAUGAAUGACAUGAAUCACGAGGUCAUGUCAUUAAUAUGGAGUGAAGAUUUAAGGGUGCAGGAUGUGCGAAGGCUUCUUCAGAGUGCGCAUCCUGUCCGUGUCAACGUAGUGCAGUACCCAGAGCUCAGUGACCACGAGUUCAUCGAGGAAAAGGAAAACAGGCCACAGAAAUGGUACUUCUGA
RNAcentral lists this long non-coding RNA (807 nucleotides) under Pan troglodytes (chimpanzee). Its description in RNAcentral is "lncRNA (ENSPTRG00000054235.1)". The record is from RNAcentral. Lineage: Eukaryota; Metazoa; Chordata; Mammalia; Primates; Hominidae.